Molecule: ribosomal RNA, 245 nt
Filed under: uncultured bacterium
Lineage: Bacteria
Description: partial 16S ribosomal RNA
Rfam family: Bacterial small subunit ribosomal RNA
Source: RNAcentral
UACGUAGGUGGCGAGCGUUGUCCGGAUUUAUUGGGCGUAAAGCGCGCGCAGGCGGCUGCCUAAGUCCGCUGUGAAAUCUCCCGGCUCAACUGGGAGGGGGCGGUGGAGACUGGGUGGCUGGAGGGACCGAGAGGCCGGUGGAAUUCCCGGUGUAGUGGUGAAAUGCGUAGAGAUCGGGAGGAACACCUGUGGCGAAGGCGGCCGGCUGGGGGUCACCUGACGCUGAGGCGCGACAGCGUGGGGAG